AUUGAACGCUGGCGGCAGGCUUAACACAUGCAAGUCGAGCGGGGUGAUGGUGCUUGCACUAUCACUUAGCGGCGGACGGGUGAGUAAUGCUUAGGAAUCUGCCUAUUAGUGGGGGACAACAUCUCGAAAGGGAUGCUAAUACCGCAUACGUCCCACGGGAGAAAGCAGGGGAUCACUUGUGACCUUGCGCUAAUAGAUGAGCCUAAGUCGGAUUAGCUAGUUGGUGGGGUAAAGGCCUACCAAGGCGACGAUCUGUAGCGGGUCUGAGAGGAUGAUCCGCCACCCUGGGACUGAGACACGGCCCAGACUCCUACGGGAGGCAGCAGUGGGGAAUAUUGGACAAUGGGGGGAACCCUGAUCCAGCCAUGCCGCGUGUGUGAAGAAGGCCUUAUGGUUGUAAAGCACUUUAAGCGAGGAGGAGGCUCUUUUGGUUAAUACCCAAGAUGAGUGGACGUUACUCGCAGAAUAAGCACCGGCUAACUCCGUGCCAGCCGCCGCAGUAA
Molecule: ribosomal RNA, 503 nt
Filed under: uncultured bacterium
Lineage: Bacteria
Description: partial 16S ribosomal RNA
Rfam family: Bacterial small subunit ribosomal RNA
Source: RNAcentral